Molecule: long non-coding RNA, 1226 nt
Filed under: Equus caballus (horse)
Lineage: Eukaryota; Metazoa; Chordata; Mammalia; Perissodactyla; Equidae
Description: lncRNA (ENSECAG00000053515.1)
Source: RNAcentral
AGGAGGCAGAUGGUCUGACUUCCGUUGUAACAGGGUCAUUCUGGCUGCUCUGUUGCCAAUAGACUGGAGUAGGGCAGGGGUGGGGGUGGGGGUGCAGUAGGAAGACCAAGUAGGAGGCAAUUGCAAUGAUCCAAACCGAGAGAUUGUGGUGGUUUGGACCAAGAGGGUAGCAACGGAGGUAGUGAGAAGUGGAUCAACUCGGAAAAUGGUUUGAAGGUCCAACCCAGUCUCCUGUUAUGUGUGGAGUGGCACUCAGUGAAUGUCAGUGGGAGAGGCUGGGCUGCUUGUCCAAACAAGCCCGGGAGGAAGGCAGGACCAGAAGGGGGGGGGUCAUCAAUGGUGGUAGGGAUGUCAAUCACGUGUCUCUGCAUCCAGCAUCAUAGACAGGAUGUCACGCGAUGCAGCCUAGCCACAGUUCUGAGAUCUAUGGAUGGGCACGUGACUCAAGCCAGAUGUCUUUUGUUUCUUCUUCUUGCCUCAGUGCAUGAGCGAGGGCCUCUAGUACACUACCGAAUACAAAUGGAAAGUUUAAGAUUACAGGACAAGGGACUAAAAGAAGUGUCUAUUUCAGGAGCCUCUCAGCUGCGGUUUGUCUUCACUUACUAAGGGACACAACAACCUUUCCAGGCUACCCAUGGGGUACCUCAACAGCUUUGCCAUCUCACACAAUCUUUGCAGACAAGAUGCUAAUUACACCCACCUUUCUCCAGGAGCACAGUGUAGCCUAAGUGUGCAGUGUUUAUAAAGUCUGCAGGAAUGUCCCAGGCCAUCACAUUCUCUCACCACUCACUGACUCACCCAGAGCCACUUCCAGUCCUGCCAGCUCCAUUCAUGAGAGGACGGAAGGUUGCAGAUGGAAUUGUCUGUGGAUCAGCUGAGCCUCCAGAAGGAAGGCAGCCCUGACAACACCGUGCUUUCAGUCCAGCGAGACCCACAUCAGACUCUGCCAUCAGAACUUGCGUCACUGCCACAGCAUGGCCUGAUGAGUGGUGUAGGUCCGUGCCCUGGAUCCGAACCUGCGAACCCGAGACUGCCGAAGUGGAUUGUGCCAACUUAAUCACUACACCACCGGGAUGACCCUGUUAGUUAUACUUUUUAAUUCAAGAAUAAAGAAAAUAUAUUGAUUAAACCAAUUAGCCUCUUUUAAGGUUAGCAAAAGUGGAACUAGACUGUACUAUUACUAAAAUUUCACUUUUAUGUCCCUUAAACUUUUAAUUUUUCUUUAG